Molecule: non-coding RNA, 93 nt
Organism: Glossina austeni
Lineage: Eukaryota; Metazoa; Arthropoda; Insecta; Diptera; Glossinidae
Source: Rfam
GGAGCUAGUUUUUAGUACGCAAACGCCAUGAAUGGCGAAUCGUGAAUGCUGCUACUAAGAACCAGCAGUAUCUUCUGAAGAUUUUCUAGUUCC